This is a long non-coding RNA of Homo sapiens (human), 812 nucleotides long. RefSeq annotates it as CAMTA1 antisense RNA 1. The transcript has 2 exons. Lineage: Eukaryota; Metazoa; Chordata; Mammalia; Primates; Hominidae. The record is from RefSeq and is marked validated.
CUCUUCCUCUUCCGGGAAGCUGACUUCAAGCCAUGCCCUUCCCUUUUGCAAGCUCCCGUGGCUCGCGACCCGCAGCCCACCCCUGCACCAGUGGACACUGCGGGAUGGCCUGGCCUCGGCUCUGCAUUUUCACUUCUCUUAGCUCUCAUCUCCUCCACCACAGAGACAGCUCUGUCUGAGUAUCUUUCUGAUACUGUUCUUUAUCCCCCAGGACUGGCCCAGCCCAGGGCGGUGCGUACAGCAGACACUUAAUGUAACACAGUAGCAGCUUUUAAUUUCUCAGGCCAAUGAGAUACAGACAGUCACUGGUAUGGUAGUUUUUCAGUCAAGCAUCAAGGGUGUGUGCCCCUGGGGGACAUUGCAAAAUGCUGGGUGUGGGGAGCAGUUUGAACAGCAACAUUCAAUAUUACACCAUGUUUUCAUUUUUCAAAUGCAGGAAGAACUUAUUAGUUUGAAUUACAAACAACAGAAGUAGAAAACUCCACAAGGAAAAAUCUCAGCUGGUGAAGAAGCUCAGGAGCUCACAGAAGUGUGAUGAAGUAAUCAAACCAUCGCCAUCGGCUAAGGAAACCGAGGGGUGCAGAGCUGAUGUCGCUUGGCCCGCAAGCCACGGAGAGUGGGAGCAAGAGGAGGUUUGGUCAGGCUGCCUCUGCCCCUGUCUUUCUCGGCCCACAGGCUCCAAGCAGGCAGGACCAGACCGCAGCUUCCAGGUGCUGGGAUCCGGGGACCACACCUUCACCUGCUGCUCUCUUGAAGGAAAAACAAAUAUCUGCCUCUGGCAGGUAAAAAAAAAAUAAAAGGAGUGCGUCUCA